AUACAAUAUACUUUGGCAGUUAAAUACUGUUUUGAUAUAAACGGAUAUUUCGCGUUGACUAUGAUGAUGACAAUUGGCGAAGAAUUUCAAAUUAUCUAAACUCUGAUAAUUACAUGAAAAUUCAUGUUCUUAAUCGUGUCCAAAUUAUCGAUGAUGCAUUUCAUUUAAUGAUAGCAGGCCAACUUAACUGCCAUAUAUUCUGGGAUCUCAUAAAAUAUUUGCAUCGAGAAGAAGAUUAUGUGGCAUGGUAUCCUAUGUUUAAAGCUAUUGAAUACAUGUAUGGUACUUUUCCAUGGAAAAAAAUGGUUGGAAAUGUUACGUUUAGAAUAAAGCACGCAUUAUACAUGGUACU
Nylanderia fulva is the source of this 352-nucleotide non-coding RNA. The record is from RefSeq and is a predicted model, not a curated record. NCBI's taxonomy places the organism in Eukaryota, Metazoa, Arthropoda, Insecta, Hymenoptera, Formicidae.